Molecule: ribosomal RNA, 590 nt
Filed under: Enterobacter kobei
Lineage: Bacteria; Pseudomonadati; Pseudomonadota; Gammaproteobacteria; Enterobacterales; Enterobacteriaceae
Description: partial 23S ribosomal RNA
Rfam family: Bacterial large subunit ribosomal RNA
Source: RNAcentral
UGUUUCGGCUAGGGGGCCAUCCCGGCUUACCAACCCGAUGCAAACUACGAAUACCGAAGAAUGUUAUCACGGGAGACACACGGCGGGUGCUAACGUCCGUCGUGAAGAGGGAAACAACCCAGACCGCCAGCUAAGGUCCCAAAGUCAUGGUUAAGUGGGAAACGAUGUGGGAAGGCACAGACAGCCAGGAUGUUGGCUUAGAAGCAGCCAUCAUUUAAAGAAAGCGUAAUAGCUCACUGGUCGAGUCGGCCUGCGCGGAAGAUGUAACGGGGCUAAACCAUGCACCGAAGCUGCGGCAGCGACACUAUGUGUUGUUGGGUAGGGGAGCGUUCUGUAAGCCGUUGAAGGUGGCCUGUGAGGGUUGCUGGAGGUAUCAGAAGUGCGAAUGCUGACAUAAGUAACGAUAAAGCGGGUGAAAAGCCCGCUCGCCGGAAGACCAAGGGUUCCUGUCCAACGUUAAUCGGGGCAGGGUGAGUCGACCCCUAAGGCGAGGCCGAAAGGCGUAGUCGAUGGGAAACAGGUUAAUAUUCCUGUACUUGGUGUUACUGCGAAGGGGGGACGGAGAAGGCUAUGUUAGCCGGGCGACGGUU